RNAcentral lists this long non-coding RNA (613 nucleotides) under Oryza sativa Indica Group (long-grained rice). RNAcentral describes it as "lncRNA OsMH63_06G024330". Lineage: Eukaryota; Viridiplantae; Streptophyta; Magnoliopsida; Poales; Poaceae. The record is from RNAcentral.
AUGCCGAUUGCCGCCAGCCGCGACGCGAGUCGGGGGACUUGGGCCGUUGGUUUCCCGGAAUGGCCGGCCACCACACCACCGAGGCGAGGCGACUACUACUACUUGUCGGUCCUGGACCUUGACUCGCUCUCUCCUCUCGCCGUCUCGCGGCGGCGGCGGCUGCUGUCCGAGUGGCCGUGCGUCGCGUGGUGGAAAGCUGUGAGCGAACGCGGCGACUGCACGUACGGCACCACUUGCUUGUUUGUUCCCCAAGAGGUCACUGGCGGAAGCCCGCAAAGUAUUAGCCGGAUUCGGGUGGCGGCGCGGAUUCAGGCAGAUGGCGGCGCGGGCCCUCUUGCUCGCGUCGGCAAGGGCGACGGCGACGCUGGACCGACGGACAAUGGCGGUGGUCCUGCAUACUUCUCCGGCUUGCACUACAAGGCGCCACUGCCUCGACCAUCGGCGGGAGGCCACCGAUGCGGCGCCGUUGCCACGCCCUCGGUCACCGAUGAGGUUGCACCAUCGGCUCUCCUUGGCCACAUUGCUCCCCAACAGAGGAAAAGAGUAUGGAAGGUGGUGGGACCCACAGAUGGCAAGUGGAGUAGGCUGGCCAAGUUUGGCUAGUAAGGAAAGU